AGUGAACGCUGGCGGUAGGCCUAACACAUGCAAGUCGAACGGCAGCACAGUAAGAGCUUGCUCUUACGGGUGGCGAGUGGCGGACGGGUGAGGAAUACAUCGGAAUCUACUUUUUCGUGGGGGAUAACGUAGGUAAACUUACGCUAAUACCGCAUACGACCUACGGGUGAAAGCAGGGGAUCUUCGGACCUUGCGCGAUUGAAUGAGCCGAUGUCGGAUUAGCUAGUUGGCGGGGUAAAGGCCCACCAAGGCGACGAUCCGUAGCUGGUCUGAGAGGAUGAUCAGCCACACUGGAACUGGGACACGGUCCAGACUACUACGGGAGGCAGCAGUGGGGAAUAUUAGACAAUGGGCGCGAGCCUGGUCCAGUCAUACCGCGUGUGUGAAGAAGGCCUUCGGGUUGUAAAGCCCUUUUGUUGGGAAAGAAAAGCAGCAGGUUAAUACCCCGCUGUUCUGACGGUACCCAAAGAAUAAGCACCGGCUAACUUCGUG
This 492-nucleotide ribosomal RNA is filed under the name uncultured bacterium. RNAcentral's name for it is "partial 16S ribosomal RNA". It matches the Rfam family "Bacterial small subunit ribosomal RNA", at positions 29 to 507 of the family's 1533-position model. The record is from RNAcentral.